CGACGUGAGGAACCUGCCUUCCAGAGGGGGACAACAGUUGGAAACGACUGCUAAUACCGCAUGACGCAUGACUGUGGCAUCACAGACAUGUCAAAGAUUUAUCGCUGGAAGAUGGCCUCGCGUCUGAUUAGCUAGUUGGUGAGGUAACGGCCCACCAAGGCGACGAUCAGUAGCCGGACUGAGAGGUUGGCCGGCCACAUUGGGACUGAGAUACGGCCCAGACUCCUACGGGAGGCAGCAG
Molecule: ribosomal RNA, 241 nt
Filed under: uncultured bacterium
Lineage: Bacteria
Description: partial 16S ribosomal RNA
Rfam family: Bacterial small subunit ribosomal RNA
Source: RNAcentral